Molecule: transfer RNA, 90 nt
Filed under: Candidatus Omnitrophota bacterium
Lineage: Bacteria; Pseudomonadati; Candidatus Omnitrophota
Description: tRNA-Tyr
Source: RNAcentral
GGGGGUUGUUCUUUACGGUGGUCUGUAAAACCAUUGUCGUUAUAAUGUAAAGCGGUUCGGCAGAUAGUUCGACUCUAUCAGCCCCCACCA